UACGAAGGGGCUAGCGUUGCUCGGAAUCACUGGCGUAAGCGCACGUAGGCGGCUUUCUAAGUCAGGGGUGAAAUCCUGGAGCUCAACUCCAGAACUGCCUUUGAUACUGGAGAGCUCGAGUCCGGAAGAGGUGGAGUGGAACUCCGAGUGUAGAGGUGAAAUUCGUAGAUAUUCGGAAGAACACCAGUGGCGAAGGCGGCUCACUGGUCCGGUACUGACGCUGAUGUGCGAAAGCGUGGGGAGCAACAGG
Molecule: ribosomal RNA, 250 nt
Filed under: uncultured bacterium
Lineage: Bacteria
Description: partial 16S ribosomal RNA
Rfam family: Bacterial small subunit ribosomal RNA
Source: RNAcentral